GACUUCAAACCACUCCCUAAAAUUCUUUCCCAAUUUGCUGUUCCCUGAAGGUCCAAAAGGAAUCAGUAACAUUUAAGGACGUGACUGUGCAUUUUACGCAGGAAGAGUGGGGAAACCUGGACCCUUCUCAGAAGGAGUUGUACAAGGAUGUGAUGUUAGAGAAUUACAAGAACCUUGUCUUCCUAGGUAAGAAGAGCUGUCCUCUGUGACUCAGAUUGUUUCCAUAGUUGUGUCUUUCUUAAUACACCUAACUAAAUCAGAAUUUCCUAUGUGGUAAGUAUUUGAAAAUUAGUGUUUGCUAUUCGGAAACUAGUUUGCUAAUUCUCUUGUGGCCAUUGAUGGAACAGAAGUUGCUCCUUGAUCUCAAGUGAAAGGCCUUAACUGUGUACAGCUUGAAACUGGGUGGUUGUUUGUGUUGCCUCUGAGUUGUGCUUUCCCAUUCUCUGUCCUUUCAGGUCAAAGAUUCUCCCCUGUAGUUCCAUUACAGGUACCUGAGGACAAGAAAGUUUCAUCCUCUUACUGGGAGUGGUUCAAAACUAAUUUUCUUUGGGAUCACUAGUCUGUAUAUCUCAGGAAUGCAAUGCAGUGGAUUUUUUCAGAGGUUCUCUAUACCAUCCUUUGGUCUUUCUUAGCAUGCCUCUUCACCCUACAUAAUAAGUUACUGGUGAUAGAAUAACAGACCUCUGUCUUCAAUGCAUUUCUGUUUCUAAUGAGCAGGACUUACAGUUUGGAAACCAGAUGUGAUCUCCCAUUUGGAAGAAGGAGAAACUCCUUGGAUACAGGACCCAGAGGUACUUUGGAGCACCUCUCCAGAUUGGGUGACUAGGCCUGGAACUAAGCAGUUAACAGAGAAAAGACUUAGAAGGGAUGGUUCCUAUGUCUUUAAAUUGGGAGAAGCAUUGAAAUAUUAUGUCAGUUUGGAGAAGCAGGAGCAGAACCGUGAGGAGAAACAUUCUAGGUAGCUGGAGAGAUUGCAAGGUUAAAAUACAGCACCAAACCAAUGGGACUUUGCAGCUGACAGAUAUGCAGAAUAAAGGCACACCAGUUGCAGCCAUCAAGAGCACAAAGGAAAUGGAUAUCAAGAAAGGGGUAAAUUUACAUGUUACCUGCUUUGAUGUACAUCUCAGUUUUCUUUUUAAACUCCCCAGCCUGGUUCAAGAAGUAAAACUUAAAAGAGAUUUUAUUACUAUUACUAUUUUGCAAGCCUCACCAUGUUCCAUGACUUCAUGGACCAUCAGUGCAGAAUUUUUGAGAACUACAAAGUUUUCUAAUGUAUUAUCCUAUGUGGAAUACAGGUUGGGUCUAAUAAUCAUGAAUUUUCCAUCAGUGGAGGUUAAAUUAAUGAGGUUUUACUAUAUUGAUAGUUUAGUAAGCACAAAUAAAUACUAGUCCUCUAUAAUGCAAAUAUUAAUAAUUUUAAUAACAGGGGCACAUAUUCCAAGAAGGGAGAUUAUUCUGUAAACCUCCACAGGAAGAAAAAUUUAAGUUAUUAAUUCAAGAUGAUAAAGAAUAUUGGUCUAAGUAGAAUCUGAUCAUUACAAAAUGGUCAGAACAUGAGGACAGAAAGUAAAAACCUAAUCAUGAGAAUUUUUUAUACACUGCCAAAUACCUAAAAGUAUCCGAAUUACUAAUUAAAUUUUUUUUUUAGUAUUUUGGCCAGAUGUUUGUCAUUUCUAGACACAAGCACCAAGUGCCUACUAGCAAAAAUGAAGCAAACUGUUUAGGAAAUUUGGUGCUAAAAAAACUCCAGAUGAUCCAGACAACUGUCUUAAUUCUUUACUUUACUAAUCCUUUACUUUACUUAGUCAAAGAAAAUUCAUUAAUGUUUUUAUAGCGAAAAACCAGGAAUGGUGUCCUUUCAAUUUGUGAGUUAGUUAACAAGCAUUUUAUUGAGGGUCCACCUGUGCCAGGCACUGUACUAAGUCUUGAUGUACAAAGAAUGGCAAAAACCCAGUCCCUUCUCUCAAGGAGCUAACAGUCUAGAAGGAGACAACAUCCAAACAACUAUACAGAAAAAGAUAUUUAGUUUAAACUGAGGGUAAUUUCAGGAGGAAGACACUAAGAUUGAGGAGGACUGGCAAGGUUUCUUGUAGAGUGCUGAGUCUUAGCUGAGUCUCAAGUGAAGCCAGUAGGUUUCAAGGACGGACAGAGUUCUAAGUAUGGGGAACAGCCAGUGAAAAUGCUCUUGGAUUCAAGAGAUCAAGUGUUUGAGGAACAGCAGUGAGGCUGUUGGAUCACAAAGUAUAUAGAGAGGAGUAAGGUGUAAAACACAGGAAAAGGAGGAAGGGGACAGGUUAGGAAAGGUGAUGAUGAAAAAAUAUAUAUAACAUGACUCCACAGACUAUUAGGAAUCAAAGAGCUUUGAAUUUAUUAAAAUGUGUAUUGCUUUUUUUUUUUAUUCUCAUUCUUCCUGUUCCCUGUCUCUUCAUCUUUCCUCCUCAAUUGCUGCCCUCAACCUAGAGGACUUCAGUGUACCUAUUAAUACUCCCUCAAACACCUUCACCUCCCAGUUCUUCAACAUACUCAUUCACCAUGACCUACUCUUCACCAUAUUUCAGCUACACACAAAGAUAGAGGGUUAUACCCUUGAUCUUCCCAUCACCCACAAAUAUAUCUCCUCCAUGUUCUAAAAUUCUGAAAUUCCCUUAUCUGAUCAUCAGCUGUUGGCUUUCAACUUUUCCCUCUUCCUUUCAAUACCAUCCCUGUUCUACAUCCACACCGUGAUCUCCAGUCCCUCAGUCCUUCAGUUCUGUCCUAGGUCCUCAUUCUUUUUACAUCUAAACUCUCCUCCUUUCCCUGUCUGGGCUCCUUGGUGAACCAUAUACUGUCCUUUUGAGUACCUGGCCCCUUUAUUUUAUCUCUAAUUGUGCCCUGCCAAGCCUCAACUUUGGAUCACUCCUACCAUCACUUCUUAUUGCUAGGUACAAGCCCAAGCACCAAGUACCUAUUAGCAAAAAUGAAGAAGGCAAUUCAGGAAAUUUUGGGAGUAUUUGUUGCCCCCCCAAAUUCUCAAAUUACCCAGAAAUCUAUUUCAAUUCUCUGUUUUACUUAGUUAAAGGAAAUCAAUAAACAUUAUUAUUAAAGAAAAACCA
RNAcentral lists this long non-coding RNA (3092 nucleotides) under Vombatus ursinus (common wombat). RNAcentral describes it as "lncRNA (ENSVURG00010003485.1)". Lineage: Eukaryota; Metazoa; Chordata; Mammalia; Diprotodontia; Vombatidae. The record is from RNAcentral.